CGGCGAGCGAACGGGGAUCAGCCCAUUAAGUUAUGUGUGUUUUAGUGGAACGCUCUGGGAAGUGCGAACGUAGAGGGUGAUAUUCCCGUACACGAAAGGGCACACAUAAUGAUGACGAGUAGGGCGAGGCACGUGAAACCUUGUCUGAAUAUGGGGGGACCAUCCUCCAAGGCUAAAUACUCAUCAUCGACCGAUAGUGAACCAGUACCGUGAGGGAAAGGCGAAAAGAACCCCGGGAGGGGAGUGAAAUAGAACCUGAAACCUGAUGCAUACAAACAGUGGGAGCACCCUUGUGGUGUGACUGCGUACCUUUUGUAUAAUGGGUCAGCGACUUAUAUUCUGUAGCAAGGUUAACCGUAUAGGGGAGCCGCAGGGAAACCGAGUCUUAACUGGGCGUUAAGUUGCAGGGUAUAGACCCGAAACCCGGUGAUCUAUCCAUGGGCAGGUUGAAGGUUGGGUAACACUAACUGGAGGACCGAACC
This 482-nucleotide ribosomal RNA is filed under the name Prorocentrum minimum. Its description in RNAcentral is "partial Bacterial large subunit ribosomal RNA". It matches the Rfam family "Bacterial large subunit ribosomal RNA", at positions 247 to 780 of the family's 2925-position model. Lineage: Eukaryota; Dinophyceae; Prorocentrales; Prorocentraceae. The record is from RNAcentral.